GAUUAAUUAAAAGUCCCUUACAGGCAUUUAAUUUAAUUAACAAGUUUAUUCCAGGUACUAAAAUGUCCUCGAAGCUUAUUUAUAACAGCUUAUUUUAGGCACUCAAGUUAAAGGAUAAUUGCACCUUAAAGGAUAAUUGCAGGCACUGUGUACUAAUUAAUGACAAGUGACGUGAAUUAGUGAGAUAAAUUAAUUAAACCUCUUACAGGUAUUUAAUUUAAUUAACAGGUUUACUACAAGCACUUAAAUGCCUCAGAAGCUUAUUCAUAGCAGGAAAAUGAGUAAAUAAAAGACUUAUUCUAGGCACUCAAGUACCUUAAAGGAUCAUUACAAGCACUUUAUAGAAAUUUAAGUCUCUUCCGGGCAUUGAAUUGACGAAACAGUGGGGCUGCCAAGGCAGUUGUGCAUAUAGGUCUCCUGAUGGACCCGUCAUGCCCCACCGGGGGUUACCAGAGCCCAACAACCUUAGAGAAACCGAUAAGACUCCCUGGUCUGAAGGACUUAAAGUCGCUCGGUACACUGAAAGUGUUACCCAAGUAUUUGAACCUGGCGCGCUGGCACUACAUGUUCAACGGUUUCAUCCUCCUCACAGCACCAUCGGCAUUCCGGGUUGUCCGCAAUACCGAUAGUAUGGAGAUGGCUUCUUAAGUGCCAGUGACUAGUUAAAAGACCUGUCCCUAGCCGAAUUUCGCGUCUUUUUAGGCGUAGUAGAUUUUUGGUGAGACAGGCAGAAAGCCCACCUAUGUACGCUUUGGCUUGUCUCAUACCAGGGGACUCGGUCCAUCUUCGGUGGGUCCACUUGUCCAGCAGACCCUUCAAUGACGCGACCGCAACGCAUUUGGCGAUACCAACUAUGGGUUCUGGCCCCAUCGGCACAUUCGCGGAUCCCAGUCUGGCGAGAGAGUCCGCUUCCUCAUUACCUGCAUGGCCUGCGUGGCCAGGUAUCCAGACGAGCUGGACCCUGCAGCCAACCUGUAUCAGUUUUUUUAGGACUUUUAUGCACUCUAGUACAAGCUUGGAGCUUACCUUUGAGGCCGUGAUAGCCUUAAUGGCAGCUCUGCUGUCCGAGCAUAUUGAUACAACUGUAUUGCGGUGUUCGCUGCUUAGGAUUUUCUGUCCGCAUUUUAAUACAGCGAAUACUUCGGCCUGGAAGACAGUGGCGUGCUCCCCCAGCGAGUAUGCCCUACUGGUAUGUGGGAUCCCACCAAAAAGCCCUGAUCCAGCUCUGUUAGUUAAUUCUGAAGCCAUCUGUGUACCAGAUGGUCCCCCUAUUUAGUAAUGCAGGUCUGUUGGAAUGCUGCCACUCCUCUCUGCCUGCAAUGUGCGUUACGAAUCCCUCGCAGUUCACGGUCACUGGAGUGGAGCCAUGCACUAUGCAGUCACUGCCCAUCAGAAGGAGAGGACGUUCCUGUAUGGCCCGUGACCAAAUUUUUGCGUGACCGGUCUCGCCAGCACGUAGUUCAGCCGCGUUCAAACAGGGUUCUGAGCCGCGGCUCUCGAGUGCUUGGCAGAUUAAUGCAAAAGGGGUGUCUUCCGCGCAUUAUAAUUUAAUUAACAAGCUUAUUUCAGGCACUUAAAUGCCUCAGAAGCUUAUUCAUAGCAGGUAAUUGAGCCAAUAACAACCUUAUUCUAGCUUAUUUUAGGCACUUAAGUAAGAAUCAUUCACAGGCAUUUAAUAGAAAUUAAUGACAAGCAUGUGAACCAGUGGAGAAGAUUAAUUAAUUAAGUCUCUUACAGGCACUUAAAUUAAGGAACAAGCUUAUUCCAGAUAUUUAAGUGUCCUCGAAGCUUAUUUAUAGCAAGUAACUAAGCUAAUAGGAGACCUAUUCUAGGCACUCAAGUACCUUAAAGGAUCAUUACAGGCACUUUAUAGAAAUUAAUGACAAGCGUGUGAACCAGUGGGGAAGAUUAAUUAAAAGUCUUUUACAGACACUAAAUUUAUUUGACAAGCUUAUUUCAGGCACUUAAGUGCCCCCAAAGAUUAAUUAUAGCAGGAAAAUGAGCCAAUAAGUGAGUUAUUCCAGGUUUUUUAUUUAAUGCCUUAGACUCCUGGAAGGAGAAAAAAAUUAAAAGUAAGCAAUUUUGGUUAUGAUGAUUAUUUCCUAUAAAAUGUCAGGUUUGCAAUCGAUGUUCUCGAAAUCCAAUCGAAUUUUAACAACAAAUUUUGGUAGAGAAUCGUCCCAUUUACAAUAUGUUCUUUAGGCCAAUUAUUUUUGGGAUAAUUGAGUUAAAAAGUGAAGAGAAGUAGAAGAAUUUCAAUAAUCGUCAAUAAUCUUAUUUAUUGACGAUGUUUUCGUUAAACCUGUAAAUUGGAGGUAAUGGGGCAAAAUUUAAGUUCCAACUUUAACGCCAAUUUUAUCAACAAAAAAAAUCAACAGCCUUCUGAUGAUGGAGAAUCUUUCAAUGAGCAGAAAUCCUAUUUAUUUCUUCGUACUUUCAUUUAUACAAAGGAAUAUUCUAGUACCUAGAGCAAAGAACUCAGUACAUCUAUUUCAGUCGUCUCACAAAAUUGUAACAAACCUAAGACAGAAUACUUGGACUAUGCACUCAAAACUGAGUUGACCAGACCGGUAUACUAUAAACCAAAUUAUUAUCUGCAAGUAUUUUACCUUUUAACAAUUUUAUAAUAUGAAUAAAGGUAUAUGCAAGAAUAGUAAUACUAGAAAGCCUUAAUUUUUAUGUGUACCCAUUAAAUCAUUACAGCAUUUACUGAGUUACAUACGCCUCUUUAAAAAUUCUUACUACUUCUGAUGCCUGAUUACAUCACGUCGUAUUUACCUUUAUAUUCAUUCAACAACAAUAAUUACGCAUCAAUUUAAACAAUCCUGCCGCAAAUAUGAUCCUACACACUAUACAAACUGUUUGUUGAAUUACAAAUUUCUUCAAGGUAAAUCAACGUUCAUUAUUCAACUACUUCUCCGCGAAUUAUAUUGUUGCAAUAAAAAAAAUUGAAUCGACUUACCAAAUAAAUGUGACAUUACCUCGCCCAAGAAGCAAUAACAAUAGUCACCAUAGUUUUUGUGAUUUUUUUUUUAUUCGGGAGUAUUUAAAGAGAGAUACAGGAAAUGAAUGACGACGACAACAACAUGUUUUCCGCGACUGUUAAAGCCCGAUGUUCUAGUAAUAAUACGGUCUUGUUGUGGACGGAUGUAAUACCUCGACGACGAAGAGUUCAACUACCGAAGACUGAAACACCGCAGGUGAAAGUAUAAUAAUAAUUCUGGUCUUUGCCUGCUGCUGCUGCUUUUAGCAGGGGGUUUCAAUCGAAACGAAUGCGAUCGUUCGAUAUUCUGUUUCAGUGAUUAUGAGGAGUGUAAGAGAUGGCGACACCGUUCUUUUAUAUACCAUAUUUAAGAGGUUUUUUUUAAUCGUUUAACGUAUAAAACCCAGAUAGAGUAAUAGUUCUUUGACCAGUUAGCUAUGACCUUAGUUAGUGAUGGUCUCAUUGGAUUCAGAAGAAAAAUUAUAUGGGAAUAAAUGAGAGGGCUUGUGUCUCUAAAAAAUCAAUAUUGGCUUUAAGAGAUGCAUAAUCUUUAAUUAAGAGACAGUUUACCCGAGGACCAAUGGUUUAUGUAAUAUGCUUUUUUGUUGCUCUUUUGUAUCAGGUUUUCAUUCAGGUUUUCCUAAUUUUAAUUUGUAUACCAGAAAAAGAAACUUUACCUUCCCAAAUUUUCAUUUUUGUCCUUUUACAAGACCCUAUUUCUUGAUUCUAAAUGACUUAACUUCAACAUUUCUCUGCUUUCCUUCUAUAAGGUAUAAAGCAAUAAAUGACUCACCUUUUGUGUGUACUUUACUGCAGCUAUUUUUUGCAACGAGUCUUGCACUAAAUAAAUAACAGACAAGCAGGAGUUAUCAUCAAUGCUUAAGUUUUGAAUAUACGAUACGAUUGACUGAUGAUACUGUUGUAAAGGCACAUAAUUUCAAAGAUCUCUUUGUGAAUAAUUGUCAGUAAAAUUGCCCUGAAGUCGAUCCUUUGUAGACAAAAACUCAAUUUGAGGAUUUACUUUUUUGCAAACAUCACACUCCUUAGUAAACAGGAUAUUCCCAACCAGGUGACUGUACUGUAAAUCCUCGGAAAUCAGUCCUUGCUUUACUAUUGGUUGGAAAAAUGUCUCUGACUUAGAAAAGUUGAUUUUUUAGCCCUUUUUAUGCAUAUAAACCGAUCUGAGUCCCAUGAAUCUUUGACGAUCGUUAUGAAAUCAUCUCUCCUGUCUCUAGGGUUCAUAAUUAAAUAAGAAAAGUACAAUUUCAUAAUGAUCCAAAGUGUUCCCGAGAGGUGAGAUGCGGUAGAAAGUGAAAAAUUGAACUUUUUACCUCUUUUUAUGCAUAUAAACCGAUCUGAGUCUCAUGAAUCUUUGACGAUCGUCAUGAAAUCAUUUCUCCUGUCUCUAGGGUUCAUAAUUAAAUAAGAAAAGUACAAUUUCAUAAUGAUCCAGAGUGUUCCCGAGAGGUGAGAUGCGGUAGAAAGUGAAAAAAUGGACUUUUUACCUCUUUUUAUGCAUAUAAACCGAGCUGAGUCCCAUGAAUCUUUGACGAUCGUCAUGAAAUCAUUUCUCCUGUCUCUAGGGUUCAUAAUUAAAUAAGAAAAGUACAAUUUCAUAAUGAUCCAGAGUGUUCCCGAGAGGUGAGAUGCGGUAGAAAGUGAAAAAGUGGACUUUUUACCCCUUUUUAUGCAUAUAAACCGAUCUGAGUCUUAUGAAUCUUUGACGAUCGUUAUGAAAUCAAUUCUCCUGUCUCUAGGGUUCAUUAUUAAAUAAUAAAAGUACAAUUUCAUAAUGGUCCAGGGUGUUCCCGAGAGAUGAGAUGCGGUAGAAAGUGAAAAAAUGGACUUUUUACCUCUUUUUGGGCAUAUAAACCGAUCUGAGUACCAUGGAUCUUUGACGAUCGUUAUGAAAUCAUCUCUCCUGUCUCUAGGGUUCAUUAUUAAGUAAGAAAAGUAUAAUUUCAUAAUGAUCCAGAGUGUUCCCGAGAGGUGAGAUGCGGUAGAAAGUCAAAAAGUGGACUUUUUACCCCUUUUUAUGCAUAUAAACCGAUCUGAGUGCCAUGAAUCUUUGACGAUCGUUAUGAAAUCAUCUCUCCUGUCCCUAGGGUUCAUUAUUAAGUAAGAAAAGUAUAAUUUCAUCAUGAUCCAGAGUGUUCCCGAGAGGUGAGAUGCGGUAGAAAGUCAAAAAGUGGACUUUUUACCCCUUUUUAUGCAUAUAAACCAAUCUGAGUCCCAUGAAUCUUUGACGAUCGUUAUGAAAUCAAUUCUCCUGUCUCUAGGGUUCAUAAUUAAAUAAGAAAAGUACAAUUUCAUAAUGAUCCAGAGUGUUCCCGAGAGGUGAGAUGCGGUAGAAAGUCAAAAAGUGGACUUUUUACCUCUUUUAUGCAUAUAAACCGAUCUGGGUCCCAUGAAUAUUAUGAAAUUAUCUAUCUCGUCUCUAAAUAUCAUAAAUACGUCAGAAUAAUGCAAUUUCAUAAUAAUCCAGUUGAAAACGAUUUAUAUACAAUUGCAACUUAGCGCUAUUUAAUCUUAAACGUGGGUUUUAUGUGACCGAUGCGAAGUCUUGUGCCUUUACGAAAGUUCCUUUUGCCAACGAUUCAACUUAUACAGGAACGAAAAAGAAAAAGAGGUAAAAACAUCUAUAUUAACCAUUGAAAAACGUUAAUAGUAAAGACAUUACGAUAUUUAUGAUGGCAAACUUGUUCGAACCAUCUAACAAAGUUUUUAAUGUCUCGUAACAGAAUACGCCCUCCAGUAAAUAUUAAUGAAAAUAAUAAUAAUAAUAAUAAUAAAAAAUAACUAUCUAGGACUUAAAACAAAACGCAGGAUAAUAUCCAAACCAAAAUAAUAACAGCCGGUUAUAAGAAGAUCGGAAGCCCGAUUCGAUCAUCGUCGUCGUCGUCGCUCUCGGACACAUCGGUCUCGUUCAAGAGCCGACCCAUGGCGAUGUAGCGACCGAUAUCGCCACGAUCGUAAUACUGCAUCGCGAUCAACGGAUCGUCCAGAUCCAACUCGAAAUCCUCGAUAACACCGUCAUCAUCAUCAUCGUCGUCAUCGUCGUCGUCGUCUAUGACGGAAUGUAAAUCGUCCCCCAUCCAGAACAUCAACUGAUUGACGCCCUCCAGCACUUCGUCGGUGAUCGCGUGGUUCCGGUUCCUCCAUCUGCGCGGUUUCGGUGGACCGACGUCCAGUUUUUUCCCGUUGGGCAGGGCGUGUCUGUACAGGCACGUGUUGCCGAACGGACACGACCCGUCGCCCCUCUUGAAGUAUCUGCAGUGUAAUUUUUGUCUGCGCGCCUUCUCGCAGAAUAUGAAGUUGUCUUUCUCCUCUUGACGCUCGAACCAGAUUUUACUCGGAUAUACGAAAUCUGUGGAGAAAAAACUCGCGUUAAACGUGUCGUGUUUGUGGGUAAAGACACUUUAUCGCUAUGCGUCGCCGCAUUCUUAUAACCCAUCCCUAUUAGCAAGACAACAACAGAAGUCAAGUAGAUAACUGUACAUGGAUUUUCAGAAGGCUUUCGAUCAAGUAGUACUUUAUUAUCUGGGUUGCUCUGAAAAUGUAUUAAAAUUAUUUUCUUCUAGUACCUUCUAGACCGAAUGCAGUUUGUCGGAAUCGACGGUUUCAGGUGAUUUAAAAUAAGUGCCAAAUUGUCAUGGUGAAUGUCACAAGAAUCAGCAAUAGUGUUAAAGUGUGUUGACACGCAAUCCUUUGCAAAAGGGAUGGGCAGUCAAUUUUAUGGUUAAGUAAAUUAAACAAGAAUUUCACUGAAUGCAUUUCUCUCCUCUUCGCAAGUGACCGUUCAGUAUAUCUAGAGAGCAGCAGGUUAUGGUCAUAGAGUCCAUAAAAUGAGAGAAUAUGCCGGUGACGUAAAAUGCGCACAAACCCACUUUAAACCAAAAAAUCAAUAAAGGGGAGGCCCCAUAUUUCCCUGAUUAGGUUUACUUGACCGUGAAUACAUGCAUCUCUCUCUUUCACAAGGAAAAAGAUAAAGUCGUUAUAAUAGUUAUACCUCUCCGCUUUAUUCAUCACAGUACCCUUGGAAGUUCGAUGGUGUUUCGCAAUAAGUCAGUGUCGUCGCACUUGGGAACGCGUUGAGAGUGUAGAGUGUGCGUGUAAAUUCAGUUAAAUUUGUGUUUACCUACUUUUUUCUUCCAAUUUUGGUGUGUUUUAAUUUAAAGACUAUUAUUUUGUUUGUGUUUGUUACUAGUAACGUAUUAAAGGUAAGAAAAUGUAGUAGUUUUUUUAAAAGGUAUCUUACAGUGCAAAUUAAUAAACCAAAAGUGCAACUCCAAAGAAACAAAGAAUUUACAUUAACUUUAUUAGUCAUACUUCUGACAAAGGUUGGUUUGACGAAAGCCUAAGCGGUAUACGAAAACCCAUUUCAAAAGGACAGCGAUUAAUCAUCGUUCAUGCUGGAGGAAAAAAUGGUUUUGUUAAAGACGGUCUACUUAUAUUCCGCUCAGGUAAGAUAUAAAAAAUAUAUAUUCUGUGCUUAUUAAUUUCUUACUUAUAACAUUUCAGGUUCUAAAAGUGGCGAUUACCAUGACGACAUGAAUCAUGAAAAUUUCAUGAAAUGGGUGGAAACCCAAUUACUUCCGAAUUUGCCACCAAAUUCGGUCUUAGUUUUGGACAAUGCAUCAUACCAUAAUGUACAAGUAAAAAAGAAUGUUACCUCAGGAAGUAAGAAGCAACUCAUAAUUGAUUGGCUUAAGGAGCAUAAUUUAGAACAUGACGAGAAAAUGACAAAAACGGAACUUUAUGAAAUAGUUCUUCAAAAUAAAAGAUUUUAUCCGAUAAAGUGCAAACUUGACGAACUAAUGGAAAGUCACGGACACUCAACUUUGCGUUUGCCUCCAUACCACCCAGAAUUGAACCCCAUUGAAAAAAUCUGGGCCACUGUUAAAAACUGGGUAGCAAGCAGGAACACAACUUUUAAGUUAGCAGAUGUAGAAGCUUUGACGAGGCAAAAAUUUGCAGAAGUAUCUGUCGAUGAUUGGAGAAGCAUUUGUGACCAUGUCGACAAAAUUGAAGACAAAUAUAUAAAAGAUCAUAAUCUUUUUGAUGAAACUUUAGAUUCCCUAAAAUUAACGGUAAACACUGGCUCAUCAGAUGAAGAUUUGGAAACGAGUUCCGACGAAUCAAUUAUCAGCAAUGUGGACAUUUUGUCAGAUAGUGACUAAUUUAAUAAUAUGAAUAUGUAUUAUAUACCGUAAUAAUAUUAUGUAGUGUUUUUAUGAGCAGUAAAAUUUAUAUACCCUUA
Long non-coding RNA from Anthonomus grandis grandis, 8243 nucleotides. RefSeq lists it as uncharacterized. The transcript has 3 exons. Lineage: Eukaryota; Metazoa; Arthropoda; Insecta; Coleoptera; Curculionidae. The record is from RefSeq and is a predicted model, not a curated record.